ACGGGUGCGUAACGCGUAUGCAACCUGCCUGACACAGGGGGAUAAUCCGAAGAAAUUUGGUCUAAUACCCCAUAAUACCGAUAUAGGCAUCUAUGUUGGUUGAAAGCUUUGGUGGUGUCAGAUGGGCAUGCGUUGUAUUAGCUAGUUGGUGAGGUAACGGCUCACCAAGGCGACGAUACAUAGCCGGCCUGAGAGGGCGGACGGCCACAUUGGGACUGAGACACGGCCCAAACUCCUACGGGAGGCAGCAUG
Molecule: ribosomal RNA, 252 nt
Filed under: uncultured bacterium
Lineage: Bacteria
Description: partial 16S ribosomal RNA
Rfam family: Bacterial small subunit ribosomal RNA
Source: RNAcentral